Non-coding RNA from Sphaeramia orbicularis (orbiculate cardinalfish), 73 nucleotides. The record is from the annotation of a RefSeq genome assembly. NCBI's taxonomy places the organism in Eukaryota, Metazoa, Chordata, Actinopteri, Kurtiformes, Apogonidae.
GCCUGGGUAGCUCAAAUCGUAGAACAUCAGACUUUUAAUCUGAGAGUCCAGGGUUCAAGUCCCUGUUCAGGCA